UGGGGAAUAUUGGACAAUGGGCGCAAGCCUGAUCCAGCGAUGCCGCGUGUGUGAAGAAGGCCUGCGGGUUGUAAAGCACUUUCAGUGGGGAGAACGAGGCUCUAGCUAAUAUCUAGAGUGGAAGAUGUUACCCACAGAAGAAGCACCGGCUAACUCUGUGCCAGCAGCCGCGGUAAUACAGAGGGUGCAAGCGUUAAUCGAAAUUACUGGGCGUAAAGGGUGCGUAGGUGGUUUGAUAAGUCAGAUGUGAAAGCCCUGGGCUCAACCUGGGAAGUGCAUUUGAAACUAGUAGACUUGAGUAUGGGAGAGGGAAGUGGAAUUCCUGGUGUAGAGGUGAAAUUCGUAGAUAUCAGGAGGAACACCGGUGGCGAAGGCGACUUCCUGGACCAAUACUGACGCUGAGGCGCGAAGGCGUGGGGAGCAAACAGG
RNAcentral lists this ribosomal RNA (429 nucleotides) under uncultured bacterium. Its description in RNAcentral is "bacterial SSU rRNA". It matches the Rfam family "Bacterial small subunit ribosomal RNA", at positions 355 to 776 of the family's 1533-position model. The record is from RNAcentral.